GAAAGGACUUCCUUUUUCCGGCGGAGUUGUAAGUUUGUGUGGGCGCGCCAGCCAUAGAGAGAGCCGGCGGAGAGAGGCUAGAGUAGUCAUCAGGCAGCUGGUUUUACAGCUCAGUUCCAUACACGGAAGCAGGGCAAAGCAGAUGUGAUGGGGAGUGUGUGAAAAUCAGGACAGCAAUGUGCUGUGCAGGGAAGUACCCAGGAAAGAUGAAAAAACAAUCAGGUUUCCUCAAAGAAGGCUGGAAAGAAGGCAGUCCAUUUCCAUUUUUCCUUCCUGAUUUGUAAACCACUCUGAGAACUUUUUUUGGGAGGGGGCACUGAAGA
Molecule: long non-coding RNA, 323 nt
Organism: Rhineura floridana
Lineage: Eukaryota; Metazoa; Chordata; Lepidosauria; Squamata; Rhineuridae
Exons: 3
Source: RefSeq, a predicted model, not a curated record